GGGCGAUUAGCUCAGUUGGUUAGAGCGCAUCGUUGACGUCGAUGAGGUCAGUGGUUCGACUCCACUAUCGCCCACCA
Molecule: transfer RNA, 77 nt
Filed under: Candidatus Peregrinibacteria bacterium
Lineage: Bacteria; Candidatus Peregrinibacteriota
Also listed under: 1 other name
Description: tRNA-Val
Rfam family: tRNA
About the family: Transfer RNA (tRNA) molecules are approximately 80 nucleotides in length. Their secondary structure includes four short double-helical elements and three loops (D, anti-codon, and T loops).
Source: RNAcentral